GGAGAGGGAGGUCAGAGCACCCAAUGAAAGAGGAGAGGGAGGUCAGAGCACCCAAUGAAAGAGGAGAGAGAGGGCAGAGCACCCAAUGAAAGAGGAGAGGGAGGUCAGAGCACCCAAUGAAAGAGGAGAGGGAGGGCAGAGCACCCAAUGAAAGAGGAGAGGGAGGUCAGAGCACCCAAUGACAGAGGAGAGGGAGGGCAGAGCACCCAAUGAAAGAGGAGAGGGAGGUCAGAGCACCCAAUGAAAGAGGAGAGGGAGGUCAGAGCACCCAAUG
This is a long non-coding RNA of Oncorhynchus tshawytscha (Chinook salmon), 274 nucleotides long. The record is from Ensembl. NCBI's taxonomy places the organism in Eukaryota, Metazoa, Chordata, Actinopteri, Salmoniformes, Salmonidae.